CAUCGCUUUCUUUUCUUCCUCUGGAGCAGCUAUGGCGGCGGCGAAGACCCUGAACCCCAAGGCCAAGGUGGCCGGAGCGCAGGCGGCGCUGGCGUUCAACAUUAGCGGUGCGCGGGGUCUGCAGGACGUGCUGAGGACCAACCUGGGGCCCAAAGGGACCAUAAAGAUUCUUGUUUCUGGCGCUGGAGACAUCAAGCUUACUAAAGACACAGGAGUUGACGAUCAGCCCUGGCCAACAUGGUGAAACUCGGUCUCUACUAAAAAUACAAAAAUUAGCCGGGCACGGUCCUGCACAGUGCGCUGCUUCACGAAAUGGUGAGAGGUGCUC
RNAcentral lists this long non-coding RNA (328 nucleotides) under Pan troglodytes (chimpanzee). Its description in RNAcentral is "long non-coding RNA NONPTRT015665". The record is from RNAcentral. Lineage: Eukaryota; Metazoa; Chordata; Mammalia; Primates; Hominidae.